GCCAGCAGCUAUCACUCUGCAGCUCUCACCUGAUUGCCCACCUAAGUUAAGCAGGGUUGAGCCUGGUCAGUACCUGAAUGGGAGACCUCCUGGGGAAAACUAGGUUGCUGCUGGAA
RNAcentral lists this ribosomal RNA (116 nucleotides) under Sinocyclocheilus grahami. Lineage: Eukaryota; Metazoa; Chordata; Actinopteri; Cypriniformes; Cyprinidae. The record is from RNAcentral.